AUAAAGUCAUUGUCGACUCCACUACACGGGAUUAAAUUAAAAAAACUUAUUUAACUACAAAUUGGGUUACUUUAUUUUUAAUAGGGACGCAGCAGCUGAUCAGAAAUCUAUCGAAAAUGGAAACUACCAAGGAUUAAGAACUGCAAUCGUAUGUCACCACUUUCCCUGCUAAGUACCAGACACAACAUCGCACUCUGAAGCAGAGCUAUGAAGUGUAACUAUUUUAUGAAUGCAUGUGUAUGCAUACGGGCAGCCUGAAGGAUUCAUUACUGUUAUACAUAUAAUUAAGAACCACAGUGACAGAAUAAAAAAAAUAACAUGGACUGUUAUUCCUGCAAAUUUAGUUGAAAAGUGUUAAAAACCAGUUGUAAAAAACAAUAUUUGUGGCCUUCUAUGACAUCAAUUGGAGGAGAUGGAUUACCCUAUUCUUAUUCUGCCGGGAAGUAAACGGAGUCCAGACCGAUUGACAGGGAUACAUUGACGUUACAUUAAAAGGGAUGGAUGAAAAGACGACGAAAACGACAGGUCUCUGGGACCAUUUGUGACCCACGAAUGCCCUUGAAAAUCAAAGGGAAUAUUUAUAAGACCGUCAUUAGACCUGUCUUUAUGUACGGUUCUUAAUGUUGGGCAGCAAAAGAGGGUCCAAAAAGAACACAUGUGGAGGAGAUGCGAAUGAUAAGAGGGAUGUGCGGUGUAACUAUAAUUGACAGGAUAAGAAACGAGUAUAUCAGAGGAAGUCUGAAAGUAGCACUAAUAGAUGAAAAGUUGAAGAGUAAUAGAUUAGCGCGGUAUAGGCAUGUGAUGAGGAGUUGAAGAUGAAAAGCAUGUUACUAGAAGGUUGCUGAGUGUGAAUGUUAAUGGAUAUAGGGGACGGGGGAGGCCGAAGAUAGUGUGGAUCGAUUGCGUAAGAAAUGAUAUGUGAAUGAAACGGGUAAGUACUGAGAUGAGUGAUAGAAAGAAGUGGAAGGAAAUAUAGUGGGAUAAGGGCAGGAAGGAGUAGACAAUAAAGGUGCUAUAAGAUCAUCCAUUUAUUGUAGUCACAAGUAAAAAUAAAAAAAAUUACUGCA
This is a long non-coding RNA of Nymphalis io (European peacock), 1067 nucleotides long. RefSeq lists it as uncharacterized. The record is from RefSeq and is a predicted model, not a curated record. NCBI's taxonomy places the organism in Eukaryota, Metazoa, Arthropoda, Insecta, Lepidoptera, Nymphalidae. The transcript has 3 exons.